This 460-nucleotide ribosomal RNA is filed under the name uncultured bacterium. RNAcentral describes it as "partial 16S ribosomal RNA". It matches the Rfam family "Bacterial small subunit ribosomal RNA", at positions 338 to 795 of the family's 1533-position model. The record is from RNAcentral.
CCUACGAGGUGCAGCAGUGAGGAAUAUUGGUCCAUGGGCGGGAGCCUGAACCAGCCAAGUCGCGUGAGGGAAGACGGUCCUAUGGAUUGUAAACCUCUUUAGGCGGGGAGCAAUGCCGGGCACGCGUGCCCUGAGGGAGAGUACCCGCAGAAUAAGCAUCGGCUAACUCCGUGCCAGCAGCCGCGGUAAUACGGAGGAUGCGAGCGUUAUCCGGAGUUAGUGGGUUUAAAGGGUUCGUAGGCGGAUUUUUAAGUCAGCGGUAAAAUGUCCGGGCUCAACCCGGGCCGGCCGUUGAAACUGGGGAUCUUGAGUGGGCGAGAAGUAUGCGGAAUGCGUGGUGUAGCGGUGAAAUGCAUAGAUAUCACGCAGAACUCCGAUUGCGAAGGCAGCAUACCGGCGCCCGACUGACGCUGAGGCACGAAAGCGUGGGGAUCGAACAGGAUUAGAUACCCCUGUAGUC